GACGUAGGUCCCGAGCGUUGCCCGGAAUUAGUGGGCGUAAAGUGCGCGUAGGCGGUGCGGCAAGUCGCCUGUGAAAGUCCAGAGCUCAACCCCGGGGUGCCGGGCGAAACUGGCGUGCUAGAGGACGGCAGAGGAGAGUGGAGCGGCCUGAGUAGCGGUGAAAUGCGUAGAUACCUUCCGAAAACCCGAUGGCGAAGGCAACUCUCUGGGCCGUUCCUGACGCUGAGGCGCGAAAGCGUGGGUAGCGAACCGG
This 253-nucleotide ribosomal RNA is filed under the name uncultured bacterium. RNAcentral describes it as "partial 16S ribosomal RNA". It matches the Rfam family "Bacterial small subunit ribosomal RNA", at positions 524 to 776 of the family's 1533-position model. The record is from RNAcentral.